Molecule: long non-coding RNA, 227 nt
Filed under: Prunus persica (peach)
Lineage: Eukaryota; Viridiplantae; Streptophyta; Magnoliopsida; Rosales; Rosaceae
Description: long non-coding RNA (PPER_LNC000768)
Source: RNAcentral
GGUUGUUGAAAUAUGCGGCCGAAUUUCUAGAGGAUUACGGCCGGGCUGUGGUGGCUGGAGUUUUGCGAGAGGCCCCUAGAGAAGAAGGUUGGGUUGUGCUUGAGCGAGGCCGGAUGUGCCCAAAGGAAGUGCGGCCGGGUUUUUGGGCAAUGGAGCUAUGACCUGAUUUUUGGGCAAAGGAGCCGCGACCGGGUUUUUGGGCAAAGGAGUUGCAGUCGAGUCUUUUU